ACGGGAGGCAGCAGUGGGGAAUAUUGCACAAUGGGGGAAACCCUGAUGCAGCGACGCCGCGUGAGCGAAGAAGUAUUUCGGUAUGUAAAGCUCUAUCAGCAGGGAAGAAAAUGACGGUACCUGACUAAGAAGCCCCGGCUAACUACGUGCCAGCAGCCGCGGUAAUACGUAGGGGGCAAGCGUUAUCCGGAUUUACUGGGUGUAAAGGGAGCGCAGGUGGCAUGGCAAGCCAGAAGUGAAAACCCGGGGCUCAACCCCGUGGAUUGCUUUUGGAACUGUCAGGCUUGAGUACUGGAGGGGUAAGCGGAAUUCCUAGUGUAGCGGUGAAAUGCGUAGAUAUUAGGAAGAACACCGGUGGCGAAGGCGGCUUACUGGACAGCAACUGACACUGAGGCUCGAAAGCGUGGGGAGCAAACAGGAUUAGAUACCCUGGUA
Molecule: ribosomal RNA, 435 nt
Filed under: uncultured Lachnospiraceae bacterium
Lineage: Bacteria; Bacillati; Bacillota; Clostridia; Lachnospirales; Lachnospiraceae
Description: bacterial SSU rRNA
Rfam family: Bacterial small subunit ribosomal RNA
Source: RNAcentral